RNAcentral lists this ribosomal RNA (612 nucleotides) under uncultured bacterium. RNAcentral's name for it is "bacterial SSU rRNA". It matches the Rfam family "Bacterial small subunit ribosomal RNA", at positions 66 to 666 of the family's 1533-position model. The record is from RNAcentral.
GGGGCAGCGGAGGCAGUAGCAAUACUGCCUGCCGGCGACCGGCGCACGGGUGAGUAACACGUAUGCAACCUACCCUUGUCAGGGGGAUAAGCCGGAGAAAUCCGGUCUAAUACCGCGUGACAUCGGGAUUCCGCAUGGGAUUCCGAUCAAAGGAGCAAUCCGGACAAGGAUGGGCAUGCGGCGCAUUAGCUAGUUGGCGGGGUAACGGCCCACCAAGGCGACGAUGCGUAGGGGUUCUGAGAGGAAGGCCCCCCACACUGGUACUGAGACACGGACCAGACUCCUACGGGAGGCAGCAGUGAGGAAUAUUGGUCAAUGGGCGCGAGCCUGAACCAGCCAAGUCGCGUGAGGGAAUAAGGUCCUAUGGAUUGUAAACCUCUUUUGUCGGGGAGCAAUGAGCGUCACGCGUGAUGCGUUGAGAGUACCCGAAGAAAAAGCAUCGGCUAACUCCGUGCCAGCAGCCGCGGUAAUACGGAGGAUGCGAGCGUCAUCCGGAUUUAUUGGGUUUAAAGGGUGCGUAGGCGGGGAGCCAAGUCAGCGGUAAAAUCGUGGGGCUCAACCCCAUCCCGCCGUUGAAACUGGUUUUCUUGAGUGGAUGAGAAGUAUGCGGAA